CCGCCGUAUCAAACUUCUCGAGCGCGACCGAAACCGGCUCCCACUUUCCAUUACACCAAUCAUCACCGUCCAUUCCUCCGCGGCCUCUCCCUAUCAGCUGUCACCCACCCAUAGCGUCCACCUACAAGUCCAUUUCGACGGUCAGAUUGCGUUAACCCAGUCCUCCCUCUUCUAGAAGGCCGGACCUCACGCGCAAACAAGGAGGAGGUAAAAUGGAGCGCCGUAAAAAAGUACCGACGUUUACGCUCCGUACGUUCUCAUAAAACUAACGUGCGGGAUGGGAUCCGCUAUCCCUGGGAUGAGGUGGUACUUAUUUAUCCCG
This 322-nucleotide long non-coding RNA is filed under the name Elaeis guineensis (African oil palm). RNAcentral describes it as "long non-coding RNA (EGUI_LNC020746)". Lineage: Eukaryota; Viridiplantae; Streptophyta; Magnoliopsida; Arecales; Arecaceae. The record is from RNAcentral.